UGAGCAAUCUGCCCUUCUCUUCGGAAUAAGCGUUGGAAACGACGUCUAAUGCCGAAUACGACCUCCUUUCGCAUGAUCGGAGGUGGAAAGCUCCGGCGGAGAAGGAUGAGCUCGCGGCCUAUCAGCUAGUUGGUGUGGGUAAUGGCCCACCAAGGCGACGACGGGUAGCCGGCCUGAGAGGGGUGGCCGGCCACACUGGGACUGAGACACGGCCCAGACUCCGUACGGGAGGNAGCG
RNAcentral lists this ribosomal RNA (237 nucleotides) under uncultured bacterium. RNAcentral's name for it is "partial 16S ribosomal RNA". It matches the Rfam family "Bacterial small subunit ribosomal RNA", at positions 118 to 353 of the family's 1533-position model. The record is from RNAcentral.